This is a long non-coding RNA of Humulus lupulus (European hop), 1059 nucleotides long. RefSeq lists it as uncharacterized. NCBI's taxonomy places the organism in Eukaryota, Viridiplantae, Streptophyta, Magnoliopsida, Rosales, Cannabaceae. The record is from RefSeq and is a predicted model, not a curated record. The transcript has 9 exons.
UUCAAGGUGGCCCUCACCUGCAUCAAAUGAGACAUUUUCUGUCAGAAAUAAGAAGUUCUCUGAUCUGGUUGUUAAAUGUUUGAUAAAACUUACAAAGGUUCUUCAAAGCACUAUUUAUGAAGUCGACCUUGACCGCAUCCUUCAAAGCAUCCAUUUGUAUCUGCAAGACUUGGGGAUGGAAGAAAUUAGAAGACGUGCUGGUGCUGAUGACAAGCCAUUGCGCAUGGUGAAAACUGUUCUACAUGAACUAGUGAAGCUUCGAGGAGCUGCUAUUAAAGGUCACCUUUCAAUGGUUCCUAUUGACAUGAAGCCUCAACCAAUAAUUCUUGCUUGCAUUGAUCUUAAUCUAGAGAAAGCUAUAAAAACUGUCCAACCUGCUACUAGAAGAUAAGGGUUUUCUGCCAUUCCUAAUGUAAAAUUGGAAGAUGUAGGUGGACUAGAUCUUAUAAGGAAGGAACUUGAUCGAUUCAUAAUUAGGCAUUUCAAAUACCACGAGAAAUUUAAGUGUGUUUGUGACUGGGAUGAUCAUGAAAAUAAAUUUAUUAAAGUUGAAGGAAUUCUGAGAAGACAGAUAAAGAUGUCUCUUAUUCCUAGUGUGCAACCUUUCCAUGCAAUAGCCUAUCCAAUUGAUCCAAUGCUUGCACUGGAGAUAAGUCGUAAAUAUGCUGCACACUGCUCUGUCAUUGCAUCUCGUUUUUCUCUUCCUUCCUUCAAUUAUCCAGCAGCCUUGCCCAUAAAGAGCGAAGGUGGCAGUAAAAGGCUAAGGGUCGGGCUGAUAUGACCAUGUUAGAAGACGAACUACCAACAAAAAGAUGACUUUCAUCAGCCCUUGUCAAGGUGGAAACUAGCUUAAGUCUUAUGUUCUUAAUAAUAAAAGGACUUUUUUUUUUACAAUGUGCAGGUGUAUUGACAUGAUUUCUUUGGAGCAAUUCUUGACAACAUUUGUAGUUGAGGCCUUUAGAAUGGAAGAAUGUAUUUCACUAAUUUUUGUAUACAUUUCUUGUUUUGUAUUUAGUGAUAAAGGAAUCUGAAUUGGGCAUAAAUUAUAUUGUAAUAUGA